Molecule: long non-coding RNA, 394 nt
Filed under: Aquilegia coerulea
Lineage: Eukaryota; Viridiplantae; Streptophyta; Magnoliopsida; Ranunculales; Ranunculaceae
Description: long non-coding RNA (ACOE_LNC001782)
Source: RNAcentral
UGAGAGUGCUAGCAAUAAAAAGUUACAUGCCACUUCACUUUCAUGUGUGAAUUGCAGUUCAAUACUGUACAAGUCUCUGCUGGUUCGUUUUUAAGGAUGCAGAUGCUGUCACCACUGGUAAAUCUUGAAACCUUACUUCAUAUACUGUAGGAGCAUUGUAGCUACUGAAAGAUAUGUGCACAAGAGGGGUACUUUACUUCAUAUACUGUAGGAGCAUUGUAGCUACUGAAAGAUAUGUGCAUAAGAGGGGUGAAGAUUUCUUCACCCUUAUAAACUAUAUUUCUGAUCGGAAAAAAAAAUACUGUAUUUUCGAUGAUGUACAAAAUUAGUUUAAUACUAGCAUUUUGUAGUCCAUUUUUCUGAAACCUUAUUUUCUUCUUAAUUUAUGUCCAAU